UUUUUUUUUUUUUUUUUUUUGGUCUUUUCUAGGGCUGCAUCUGUGGCAUAGGGAGGUUCCCAGGCUAGGGGUCUAAUUGGAGCUGUAACCGCUGGCCUACUCCAGAGGCACAGCAACGCGGGAACCAAGCCGCAUCUGCAACCUACACCACAGCUCAUGGCAACGCCGGAUCUUUAAUCCACUGAGCGAGGCCAGGGAUCGAACUUGCAACCUCAUGGGUCCUAGUUGGAUUGGUUAACCGCUGAGCCACCACAGGAACUCCUCUCCUGUUACUCUUGAUUUUGCACAUUGGGAUCCUGUUCAAUACACUUCGCUGCAUUUGAAACCCCUCCCAGUCAAUGGGGGCAUGCUUUUUGAAAGGCUGCAUGACAUUCCACACUGGGGAGAGAGGCAUGGCUGUGCUCACACCUACACCCCGCCUGCUGGGCACGGGCCUGGCCGUCUCAGUUCCAGAUCCACUAGAGACCACGGUGCUGUAAGCGCCCCUGAACGCAUACCCAUCCUUCCUUUCUUGAGCUUUGAUUGUAACAGGCUGAAUUUCUACCUCUUUUGCCUCAGGGAAGAAAACCAAGAGAUAUAGAUGGAGGGGGUUUGCCUGGAAUCACACAUCCAAUAAGUGUUCAAAGCAAGUGCACUGGAUGCUGUAUCACAUACUCUUUAUUCCACCAGACACUCUGUCCUUCUUCUAGCCUUACUGCUAGAAAUGUUUCUUUCCAUCAGAUUCAGUAAAGGCUUGCCCUGAAAUCCUUCCUCCCCUGGGACAGAGGUGGUCAAGUGCCUGGCUGUCACAGAACAUCUUGGUGGCUCUGGGUGGAGGGAAUUCAAUGCAGACGAGGCAUUCAGGGCUGCUGCUAGUGCCAGCAUGUAGCAAGCACUUGGGGAAGUCGUGCUAAAAAUACUACAUCUGCUCAAUAAAUGGGUAUUGAAUGCCGACAGUGUUCCAGGCUGGCAGGCGACAGACUUUGUUCAGCCCUGUUCUAAGAUGGCAGGAACAGCCUUGGGCCUCAUUCAUUUCCAUCUUGGAGGCUUACUGGCUGGGCCUGGAGUCCCUGGGGUUGUUAUCAAGGGGAUUCAAGGUCCCCCAGACAGGUCAGACCAGACUGGCCACAAAAUUCUGUGGCCCUGCCUCAUGAGCCACACUGUCCUCAUCUGUGGACUGGGAAGGGGAGAGGGUAAAAACUGGACUUGAGGGACCUUGGACUUCAAACCUGCCAUGUCACCAGUGGGAGUAAGGUACAGAACUGCAAAGGGAUAUUUCCAAAGUGUCCCAGGAGCUGGUGAUGGGGUUGGGGCACAAGUCCCUUCUGGGGGGCUUCUAGCCUUAUUGUUCUUUGUUCUGUGCUGCUGCCAUUUCAACCCUGUGCACAUGUGUGCCCGUUUUCUUUUCCUCUCUACAAACCUGGAUGAAAUACACACUGAUGAAAACUGUGGGCUGUGAGAACAGGCAGGCCUGAGUUUGAGUCUUAGCCUCCUACCCAUACAGUGACCUCAGAAAAUUAUUUAACCUCUGUGGGUUCAUAACAAUGGCCAGUCCCCCAGAGUUCUGAGAAUUCCAUGAAACAAUGACUUGAAAGGGCCUAGCAGGAAGCCAACCACAUAGUAUGCACUCACUAAAUGCUGAUCAUGUCUUUUAGUUCCCAUUUGCAUCUUUGAAUUCUUGCAGAACCUCUCUGCAAUUCCCAGAGUCUCCAGUACAACUUGUUUUCCCCAAACAAUAGCUCUCUUGACGUCUGAGGAGAAUGGGGGCCUCUGUGAAGCUCUUCCAAACCCUCUAUUGCGGGCUUUCAUCCACUGAACCCCUGAGGAAUUGUCGGCCUGCACUUAACUUCUCCAGAAGCAAGACUCUGCUGAUCCCUUUCUGCUGAACAGCAAUGAACUUGUCAAGAGACCAGCCAGGAGGGAGGUGGUGAAGGGGCAGGAGCAGGGCAGGCAGGUGUACAAGCCAGCGAGGAGGGCUGGGGCCAUCCAUCUUGAUUCUUUUCUCCGUGUCCAAGUGUAAAGGGAUUUGUGUCUACAAGGCUGUCUUCGCCAACCUCAGGGAAGAAGAGAAGUUGUUUAAUUGGAAAGUUUUACUUCUACCACAGAGGAAGAUUCUGGGACAAUUAGGGAUAUUGUAAUUUCUUAUUAAGGUCAAAAAGAAAUGAUAGGUAGAGCCCAUGAGUCACUUUCCAACAUGGUGAGAAAUGGAGUUGCUGGGUGACUGGGUGCGAGUGAGCCUGCGUGCCCCCAGUCUUAACGAUGUGGAGGGGGGGCUGUGGGAAGGGCGCUGGCUGCCUCCUUCCUGCCUCUGGAAUGCUCACCUUUUUGGAAACCCAAUAAAAUUAAUUCCAAGCUCAGAUUAUUAAUUCGUCCUGGUGUGUGAAUAAUUCAUUGUGGCAGAAGCCCUGUCACAUCUUCACGUUUUGGAGCGCAUAGCCUCUCCCGCUCUUGCCUUCGGAGAGAUGGCUUUCCCUUCUAACCUGCCCAAGUGUGAGAGGGACCAAGCACUCAGCCAUCAAUUCCCCAAGGAGGUCUGAGCCCUGAUUUGAGCCUGAUGCCUAUUUCGAAUCCAGCAGCCAGAGUGUAGGUGGCUGCAGUGAACUGAGGCGACCUGCUGAAGUCAGGAUGCUUCUUAAGGACCAGGGGGACUUGCUCGCCAGGCUCAUGGCUGCACAAGGAUGUAAAAGGAAUUCCUGUCGUGACCAAACGCCACUGCCCAUUACAGUGAGGUCCUCUGAGAGGACCUCCAUUGGCCUGCCCAUCAAUUAUGCAUUUCCCCAGCACACCUUCCAGGCCAGCUUCUCGUGUCAGGAUUGUUCCCUGACUGCUCCCCUCUGAGCAAGUGUCUCCACUCUGCUCCUGGGGAAGAGAUAAGAGAUGAGGCACUACCAGCUGAUAGCCUCCAGGGAGCCCAGUGCCAAAGCCUAAGUGGAACAAGGGAAGGGAUGAGUGGGUCCAGAAGCUUCUCUCUUGAACAGGAAUAAGGAGCAUGGGCCAUCCUCUGUUAAACCAGUGGCUCUGGGGAUCUUUCUUGCUUUGAACACAUGUUGUCACUGAACUGUGUGCUUACAAAGGACCCUGGGAUGCAGACGGGUGAGCAAGCUGCCCUUCUGAUAGAUGAGGCAUCUGCCACUUGAAGAGGCACAGGCAGUGUGUAGCUUUGCCUGGCAGGUUCUGGUCGGGCUUGAAAUAGUCCCUAAUCUGGUGGGCAAAUAAUUCUCGUAUCUCUUCUUUUACCAAGGAGGAUGCUCACCCCAACCCUGCGUAUUCGUUACCCGCACUCAGGACAGGAGUCCUGGCCACCGCUUGGAUCUGGUUCUUGGGCUAAGGAGCUUCUGCUCUGAGCUGGCAGCAGACACCCAAUAAGGUCUCAGUGACAGGGCCCUGCUAAGGGAUAAGGAAGAUACGUGAGGACCCAGGGAAGAGCAGCCUGCUGACUACAAGUUCCUCAAGGGCAAGGACCACGUCUGAUGAAUGUCCCACUGCAGCCCAUCCCACAGCACAGCUGUAUCGUGAUAAAAGCAGAACGAGAGAAUAAAUGAAGGAAUGCAAGGCAGACCCCAAGGAAAGCCAAUGGAGAGGUAAAACCAAGCAGCCCCUGGAGGCCUGAGGAGAGGGUGCUAUCUCCAUCUGGGGGAUCUAGGAUGACUUCCUGGAGGAGGUGGCAUUGGAACUUUGGGGAUUCUCUGGCUGUGAAUUCAGAGGGUUCUCCUGCCUCAUUUAGACAUUCAAAGACGACUUACUAAUUAACAACUGGAGAAAGAAUUCUGCAUGCAGACUGUUUGUACCUUAGCCGAGUGUCCCCAAACUUGGGAAACACAGUAGCACUUUAUGUAGGUUUCCAGUUGAGCCUGGAAUCAGCGUGAAUUGUUGGGAGGGGUUUGGGGAGUAGGGUAGACAGGCACAGGCUCUGCAGAGCCUGGCACCACACCCCUCUCUCUUCCCUUCAGAGCACAUCUUUCCAGAGACCAUCACAUUUGAUCUUGCCGAUUAUUUGGUCAACCUCUUUUCUCUGGGCAGCGCUGAUGGGGAACAACAUAUGCUUGGCCUUCUGCCUUCCUCUCCUAUACACACCCCUACACACACCCACAUCACACCCAUUUAUCUCCAUGACAACAAGGGGAGAGAGCGUGGCCUGAUGCUUCCAGGCCUCAAUACGCGGACUUAGAGCCUAGAGACUUAGCAGUUCUGGCCCUGCAGCCUCACAAAGAAGGACUAGAGUGAUUGCAGAGGCCAGGCAUGGAGAAGGGAGGGCUUUGGGGUUGCUUGUGCCCUCAGAGAGGAGGGGUCAUUGCCCUGGGAGCCCUACUGCUGGCCGUUUCCUGAUGAAGAGGUUGGUCAUUUUGCCCCCAAACACCCUCAUCCCUUGUCAGGGAUAAGCAGCGUUUGGGGGAAGGAGGGCCGGCUUUGUAUCCAAUCCCAGCUCUACCAUUUCCCUCUUCUUGUGAGUUCUCUGAACCUCUGGAUCUGCAUCUAUAAAAGGACAACUCCUUGAAAGGACUUCUGUGACUUCUAGAAAUUGGCAUUAAAAAAAAAAAUCUAUCAACGCCUCUGUUUUAGAAACUAACCAAAUGAGAUUGGUCAAAAUCAGAGAUAGGGUGUGAGGGGUGGAGAACGUGCAAACCGGCAAAAUAGGGAAACAACUAGUCAGUCUAAUUAAGAAAAAGAGUAGAGACAAAACAAUACCAAAAUUAGGAGUGGGAAAGGGAAUAUGGCCAUUGGUAUUACACAGAGGAUGUUAUAAAACUAAUAUGAGGAUAUAUGAACCAACUCUGUAAAAUAUGUUGAAGACAAGAUCAAAUGCAUAUUUUUCUAUGAAAACAUAUACUUAACUUUAAAAAUGGCAGUUUCAGACUUCCCUUGUGGCUCACAACAUAACUGCAUAGCGUUGCUUCUACAGUGGCUGUGGCUUAACUCUUGGCUCGGGUAUUUCAUAUGCCACAGGUGUGGCCACUUGUUUAAAAAAUAAAAUAAAAAAAUUUUAAAUGACAAGUUCAUCAGAGCAAAACCCUGGGAGAAAGUGGAAGAAAAAGUCAAUGAAUUACAUCUCCAACUAAUUUGCAUCCGUGUAGGAAAACAGGCUAAAAUAGUUUCACAGACUGCUUCUUUUUUUUUCUCUUCAAAAUUUCAAGGAGUUAAUCAUUACCAAGCUAUACAAAGUAUUCCAGAAUGUUUUUUUAAUAAAUCAAUACCUAAUUCAUUUUACAAGUUAGAAUAUUGCUAAUAAUCAUGUUUGACAACGAUAAUAUCCAAAAAAUAAAUCUACAAGAUAUCACCAGUGGAUUUACAUGUAAAGAUUCUAAAUAAAGUAUGCAUAUAUAUCAAAUUUCUGAAGUGUAUUAAAAGGAUAAUAUACUAUGAUUAAGUAGGGUAUAAUCUGGGUAUGGUAGGUUUAAAAAUCAAUCAACAUAAUUUAUCAAGUUAAAAAUAGUAAAGUAUUGAGUUCCCAUUGUGUCUCAGUGGGUUAAGAACCUGACAUAGUCUCUGAAGAUGUGGGUUCAAUUCCUGGCUUUGCUCAGUGGGUAAAGGAUCCGGCAUGCCGCAAGCUGCAGCAUAAGAUUGCAGAUGAGGCUUGGAUGUGAUGUUGCUGUGGCUGUGGUAUAGGCCAGCAGCUGCAGCUCCGAUUCAAUGCCUAGCCUAGGAACUUCCAUAUGCUGUAGGUGUGCCAUGAAAAGAAUAAUAAAAUAAAAAAUAAAACAAA
RNAcentral lists this long non-coding RNA (5680 nucleotides) under Sus scrofa (pig). RNAcentral describes it as "lncRNA (ENSSSCG00055029759.1)". The record is from RNAcentral. Lineage: Eukaryota; Metazoa; Chordata; Mammalia; Artiodactyla; Suidae.